GGGAAAGAGGGAGGGAGGGGGAACAUAUGCAAGUCGAACGGCAGCACCGUAAGAGCUUGCUCUUACGGGUGGCGAGUGGCGGACGGGUGAGGCAUACAUCGGAAUCUACUUUUUCGUGGGGGAUAACGUAGGGAAACUUACGCUACUACCGCAUACGACCUACGGGUGAAAGCAGGGGAUCUUCGGACCUUGCGCGAUUGAAUGAGCCGAUGUCGGAUUAGCUAGUUGGCGGGGUAAAGGCCCACCAAGGCGACGAUCCGUAGCUGGUCUGAGAGGAUGAUCAGGCACACUAGAACUGAGACACGGUCCAGACUCCUAAGGGAGGCAGCAGUGGGGAAUAUUGGACAAUGGGCGCAAGCCUGAACCAGCCAUACCGCGUGGGUGAAGAAGGCCUUCGGGUUGUAAAGCCCUUUUGAUGGGAAAGAAAAGCAGCAGGUUAAUACCCCGCUGUUCUGACGGUACCCAAGGAAUAAGCACCGGCUAAAUUCGUG
RNAcentral lists this ribosomal RNA (491 nucleotides) under uncultured bacterium. Its description in RNAcentral is "partial 16S ribosomal RNA". It matches the Rfam family "Bacterial small subunit ribosomal RNA", at positions 38 to 507 of the family's 1533-position model. The record is from RNAcentral.